Small nucleolar RNA from Hemibagrus wyckioides, 214 nucleotides. RefSeq annotates it as small nucleolar RNA U3. The record is from RefSeq and is a predicted model, not a curated record. Lineage: Eukaryota; Metazoa; Chordata; Actinopteri; Siluriformes; Bagridae. The transcript has a single exon.
AAGACUAUACUUUCAGAAAUCGUUUCUAUAGUGAUUGACUAGGAAAUGUGAUUUGAAAGUGAUGCAUCUUCCUAAUCAUGAUGGAGAGCUCUGAUGUAUUCUUCUGAGCCUGAAUCUGAUUCAGGCUAAUGAUUUUUGUCACAGGCUUGGGUCAUUGAUGAUCUUUCUCUGUUUCUUAGGAAGCAACAGAAGAAGAGUACAUGAUCUGAGUAAU